RNAcentral lists this ribosomal RNA (537 nucleotides) under uncultured bacterium. Its description in RNAcentral is "bacterial SSU rRNA". It matches the Rfam family "Bacterial small subunit ribosomal RNA", at positions 135 to 658 of the family's 1533-position model. The record is from RNAcentral.
AGAGGGGGAUAACAUUCGGAAACGGAUGCUAAUACCGCAUAGGUGAUGUGAGCGCAUGCUCGGAUCAUUAAAGAUGGCUUCGGCUAUCGCUUAUGGAUGGCCCCGCGGCGUAUUAGCUAGUUGGUGAGGUAAUGGCUCACCAAGGCUGUGAUACGUAGCCGACCUGAGAGGGUGAUCGGCCACACUGGAACUGAGACACGGUCCAGACUCCUACGGGAGGCAGCAGUAGGGAAUCUUCCACAAUGGGCGAAAGCCUGAUGGAGCAAUACCGCGUGAGUGAAGAAGGUCUUCGGAUCGUAAAGCUCUGUUGUUAGAGAAGAAUAAGAGGUGUAGUAACUGGCACCUCCUUGACGGUAUCUAACCAGAAAGUCACGGCUAACUACGUGCCAGCAGCCGCGGUAAUACGUAGGUGACAAGCGUUGUCCGGAUUUAUUGGGCGUAAAGCGAGCGCAGGCGGUCUUUUAAGUCUGAUGUGAAAGCCCACGGCUCAACCGUGGAUGGUCAUUGGAAACUGGAAGACUUGAAUGCAGAAGAGGA